This 82-nucleotide transfer RNA is filed under the name Draconibacterium sp. RNAcentral describes it as "tRNA-Leu". It matches the Rfam family "tRNA". From Rfam's summary of the family: Transfer RNA (tRNA) molecules are approximately 80 nucleotides in length. Their secondary structure includes four short double-helical elements and three loops (D, anti-codon, and T loops). Lineage: Bacteria; Pseudomonadati; Bacteroidota; Bacteroidia; Marinilabiliales; Prolixibacteraceae. The record is from RNAcentral. RNAcentral also lists the same sequence under 1 other name.
GCGGAUGUGGCGGAAUUGGUAGACGCGCUAGACUUAGGAUCUAGUGCCAUACGGCGUGGGGGUUCGAGUCCCUUCAUCCGCA